RNAcentral lists this ribosomal RNA (198 nucleotides) under uncultured bacterium. RNAcentral describes it as "partial 16S ribosomal RNA". It matches the Rfam family "Bacterial small subunit ribosomal RNA", at positions 328 to 539 of the family's 1533-position model. The record is from RNAcentral.
ACGCUCGACACCUACGAGAGGCAGCAGUGGGGAAUAUUGCACAAUGGGGGAAACCCUGAUGCAGCGACGCCGCGUGGAGGAAGAAGGUCUUCGGAUUGUAAACUCCUGUUGUUGGGGAAAAAGAGGAUGGUACCCAACAAGGAAGUGACGGCUAACUACGUGCCUGCAGCCGCGGUAAUCUGAGCGGGCUGGCAAGGC